RNAcentral lists this ribosomal RNA (487 nucleotides) under uncultured bacterium. Its description in RNAcentral is "bacterial SSU rRNA". It matches the Rfam family "Bacterial small subunit ribosomal RNA", at positions 10 to 507 of the family's 1533-position model. The record is from RNAcentral.
AGUUUGAUCAUGGCUCAGGAUGAACGCUAGCGGCAGGCCUAAUACAUGCAAGUCGAACGAGGUGCUUUUGUAGCAAUACGAAAGUAUCCUAGUGGCGAACGGGUGAGUAACGCGUGGAUGACCUGCCCCAAAGUGUGGGAUAACAGUCCGAAAGGAUUGCUAAUACCUCAUGUGGUUAUCGGAUUUAGAAACUGAUAACUAAAGCAGCAAUGCGCUUUGGGAGGGAUCUGCGUCCCAUCAGCUAGUUGGUGAGGUAACGGCUCACCAAGGCGACGACGGGUAGGGGACCUGAGAGGGUGGCCCCCCACAAUGGAACUGAAACACGGUCCAUACACCUACGGGUGGCAGCAGUAGGGAAUAUUGCUCAAUGGGCGAAAGCCUGAAGCAGCAACGCCGCGUGUGCGAUGAAGGCCUUCGGGUCGUAAAGCACUUUUCUACGAGAUGAGAAAGGACAGUAUCGUAGGAAUAAGUCUCGGCUAACUACGUG